This 3012-nucleotide ribosomal RNA is filed under the name Triticum aestivum (bread wheat). Its description in RNAcentral is "partial small subunit ribosomal RNA". The record is from RNAcentral. Lineage: Eukaryota; Viridiplantae; Streptophyta; Magnoliopsida; Poales; Poaceae.
AUGGCCCGCCUAAUGUUAGCCAUUCUCCUCAUCUCUCUAGCUUUGAACCCCUUGUCAUCUGCAACGGCAGUUGCUAGCACCCACACCAACAGAGAAGCUCUGCUCUGCCUCAACCGAGCUUUUGAUACAUGGAAAAGCACCACCUCACCGGAUUUCUGCACUUGGCACGGCGUCACAUGCACAACAAGGACAGGGCAAGCACCCCUCGUGGUGGCCUUGGAUAUGGAGGCGGAAGGCCUCUCCGGUGAGAUACCAACCUGCAUCUCCAACCUCACUUCUUUGGUAAGAAUCCACUUGCCAAACAACACCCUCUCUGGUCAUAUCCCACCCGAACUUGGCCGUCUGUCCGAACUCCGGUACCUAAACCUCAGUUUUAAUUCGUUGAACGGCACCAUCCCGUCCAGCCUUGGUACCCUUGGGAAACUUUCUGCUCUAGACCUAGGCAGUAACGGAUUUUCUGGUACAAUUCCACCUUUCAUGAAGUUUCCUUCGAAGCUCACAUACCUAAGUCUUACCGGAAAUAGCCUUACUGGAGUCGUGCCACCAUCCGUGGCAAACCUCUCAUCCCUUACCUCGCUCUUGCUUGCCGAUAACCAGUUGCAAGGAUUCAUUCCAGAUUUGGGUAAACUUUCAAGCCUGAAAAACCUCGAUCUCUCCACCAACAAUCUGUCAGGGACAGUGCCACCCUCAAUUUACAAUUUGUCUUCGCUGAACUUUCUUGGGAUGUUUGGCAAUAAUCUUGGAGGAACAUUGCCCUUUGACAUGGGUAACACACUUGCUAACAUCAAAUCACUGUUUAUGCAAGAUAAUCAUUUUUGGGGAGACAUCCCUGCCUCACUACAAAAUGCCUCCACCAUGACGUAUAUCCAUCUAGGCAACAACUCUCUGACUGGGGUGGUUCCUUCUUUCAGCUCCAUGGAAAAUUUGGAGUUUGUGAUGUUGUACUCAAAUCAUCUCGAGGCUGGAGACUGGACAUUCUUCUCCUCUUUGGCGAAUUGUAGACAUCUUCUAGAAUUUAACGUAGGUGAAAACAACUUGUGUGGGGAUUUACCAGCAAAUUCCAUAGCAAAUCUGCCCAAAAGCUUGACCGCUCUAACUCUUCGGUCAAACAACAUAUCUGGCACCAUCCCCUUGGAGAUUGGAAAUUUGUCUAAUCUUAACAUGUUGUAUCUUGAUAGAAAUCUUUUCAUGGGGUCUAUACCUCCUACCCUUGGUCAGCUACAUAACUUGGUUGUUCUUAGUCUACCACAAAACAACUUUUCUGGGGAAAUACCACCUUCCAUUGGCAGCUUAAAUCAACUGGAAGAACUUUAUUUGCAAGAAAAUGAUUUGAGUGGAAUCAUACCUGAAAGUUUAGGCAGCUGCCAGAAGUUGUUGGCACUAAACCUUUCUUGUAAUACCCUUGGUGGAAGCAUAAAAGGACAUAUGUUGGCUAGGUUGGAACAGUUAAGUUGGUUACUUGAUUUAUCACACAACCAGCUCACAACGUCCAUACCACUAGAGAUGGGUAGCUUGAUAAACCUUGGUUCCUUGAACAUCUCUCACAACAAUCUCACGGGGAGAAUCCCGUCCACCCUUAGCGCAUGUGUUCGGUUGGAAGCACUUCGUGUAGAAGAGAACAUCCUGCAAGGAGACAUUCCACAAUCACUAGCAAACUUGAAAGGCCUCAAAGUGUUGGAUUGCUCCAGUAAUAAUCUAUCUGGCACAAUCCCGGAGUUCCUUGGGACCUUCACCUCUCUGAUGUAUUUGAAUAUGUCCUUCAAUGACUUCCAAGGGCCACUUCCCACUGCUGGAGUGUUUGCUAAUAGAAGUGGUAGUUUUGUCCAAGGAAACCCACACCUGUGUGCAAACAUUGCAGUACAAGAUUUGCCUAGGUGCUUUGCUUCAACAUCCACACAAAAACACAAGUUCGUCAUUCCUAUCCUGAUAGCUCUGUCAACUCUCGUUGCACUUGCUUUGCUCUUGGGGGUGUUCAAUUUUUGGUUGAGAAGGAGAUACAAAUCCAGUGAGAGAAUUGGCCAUUCAUACAUGGAGAUGAAAAGGAUAACAUAUGGUGACAUAAUCAAAGCAACGGAUAGUCUUUCUCUAGCCAACGUAGUUGGCUCCGGGCAAUUUGGGACUGUCUACAAAGGUUGGUUCGACGCGGAAGAUGGUACGGUUGCUGUUAAAGUCUUCAAGCUCAAUCAGCACGGUGCAUUGCAUAGCUUCAUUGCUGAGUGCAAAGCAUUGCAACACAUCCGUCACCGGAAUCUCGUGAAGGUUAUAACUGCAUGCUCAACUUAUGACCCAGUGGGAAAUGAGUUCAGGGCUCUAGUCUUUGAGUAUAUGGCCAGCGGUAGCCUUGAAGACAGACUUCAUAAUCACAAGUGUGGUGAUAUGAGUUUAGGCGCAAUGAUAUGCAUAUCAGUUGACAUUGCUUGUGCUCUUGAAUACCUCCAUAACCAAUGCAUCCCACCAGUUGUUCACUGUGAUAUGAAACCAGGCAACAUACUUUUCAACAACGACGAUACGGCAUGUGUCUGUGACUUUGGUCUAGCAAGGCUAAUUCAUGGAUGUUCAUCUGGAGAGCAGAGCGGCACAACAAGCAUAGUUGGACCAAGGGGAUCUAUUGGGUACAUAGCUCCUGAGUAUGGCAUGGGCAGUGAAAUCUCGACCGAGGGUGAUGUCUACAGCUAUGGCAUUGUUCUUUUGGAAAUGCUAACACAUAAACGACCUACUAAUGAAGAGUUUAGUGAUGGCUUGACGCUCCGCAAGUAUGUAGAUGCAUCGCUGUCACGAACCCAAGACAUUCUUCACCCUAGUCUUAUUUCAGAGAUGGGAGAUCAGUGUGUCGGUCAUAUCCCAAACUUGCAAGAACACAACACAUUUGCAUUGAAGGAUAUAUGUGCUCUCCGGCUCCUUAGACUUGGCUUAUUAUGCUCUGCGGAAUCGCCGAAGGAUCGACCAACGAUGCAUGAUGUCUACGGUGAAGUAACUGAAGUAAAAGAGGCAUUUUUCUCUAUGGACAACUGA